GCCGGGGCCGGGCCGGGGAGGGGCGGGCACGGUGCAGCGCCGCCUCCCGUUCGCCUCUGCGCCUGGCCCGGCGACUGCGGGCGCUGCGGUCCACUGGGUCCGCCUCUUCCCGGCAUGGGUUUCUGCCCAGCUCACCCGCUGUCAGCUGGGGUCCUGCUCUGGUGGGAGGAAGAGGCUCAGACGCUUCCCUGCCCUCUCGCCUCAACCACCUCGAGGCAGCGGCUCCCAGGAUGUGCACUUUGACGACUAAAGCUGAGCCGGCGCCGCCACGACCUUGGGCGGGUGGUCGGCCUCUGCCCUGAGCAGGAAGUAGAAAGUCUCAGCAGACCCUUCCUGAGGGCCGAGCAACAGUGUAGUGGCGUAUUCCACAUAGCAAACAGAUAGAGUCUUGCUCUGUGACCCAGGCUUGUGUGCAGCGGUACGAUAUUGGCUCACUGCGACCUCCACCUCCCAGGUUCAAGCAAUUCUCCUGCCUCAGCCUCCCAAGUAGCUGGGAUUACAGGCAUGUGCCAG
Molecule: long non-coding RNA, 513 nt
Filed under: Homo sapiens (human)
Lineage: Eukaryota; Metazoa; Chordata; Mammalia; Primates; Hominidae
Description: HSALNT0293970
Source: RNAcentral